RNAcentral lists this ribosomal RNA (856 nucleotides) under Salmonella enterica. RNAcentral describes it as "partial 23S ribosomal RNA". It matches the Rfam family "Bacterial large subunit ribosomal RNA", at positions 1 to 888 of the family's 2925-position model. Lineage: Bacteria; Pseudomonadati; Pseudomonadota; Gammaproteobacteria; Enterobacterales; Enterobacteriaceae. The record is from RNAcentral.
GGGUUGUGAGGUUAAGCGACUAAGCGUACACGGUGGAUGCCCUGGCAGUCAGAGGCGAUGAAGGACGUGCUAAUCUGCGAUAAGCGCCGGUAAGGUGAUAUGAACCGUUAUAACCGGCGAUUUCCGAAUGGGGAAACCCAGUGUGACUCGUCACACUAUCAUUAACUGAAUCCAUAGGUUAAUGAGGCGAACCGGGGGAACUGAAACAUCUAAGUACCCCGAGGAAAAGAAAUCAACCGAGAUUCCCCCAGUAGCGGCGAGCGAACGGGGAGGAGCCCAGAGCCUGAAUCAGCAUGUGUGUUAGUGGAAGCGUCUGGAAAGGCGCGCGAUACAGGGUGACAGCCCCGUACACAAAAGCGCAUGUGCUGUGAGCUCGAUGAGUAGGGCGGGACACGUGGUAUCCUGUCUGAAUAUGGGGGGACCAUCCUCCAAGGCUAAAUACUCCUGACUGACCGAUAGUGAACCAGUACCGUGAGGGAAAGGCGAAAAGAACCCCGGCGAGGGGAGUGAAAAAGAACCUGAAACCGUGUACGUACAAGCAGUGGGAGCACAGGUUUACCUGUGUGACUGCGUACCUUUUGUAUAAUGGGUCAGCGACUUAUAUUCUGUAGCAAGGUUAACCGUAUAGGGGAGCCGCAGGGAAACCGAGUCUUAACCGGGCGUUAAGUUGCAGGGUAUAGACCCGAAACCCGGUGAUCUAGCCAUGGGCAGGUUGAAGGUUGGGUAACACUAACUGGAGGACCGAACCGACUAAUGUUGAAAAAUUAGCGGACGACCUGUGGCUGGGGGUGAAAGGCCAAUCAAACCGGGAGAUAGCUGGUUCUCCCCGAAAGCUAUUUAGGUAGCGCCUCGUGAA